GAUGAACGCUGGCGGCGUGCUUAACACAUGCAAGUCGAACGAUGAAGCUCAGCUUGCUGGGUGGAUUAGUGGUGAACGGGUGAGUAACACGUGAGUAACCUGCCCUUAACUCUGGGAUAAGCCUGGGAAACUAGGUCUAAUACCGGAUAGGAGCGUCCACCGCAUGGUGGGUGUUGGAAAGAUUUAUCGGUUUUGGAUGGACUCGCGGCCUAUCAGCUUGUUGGUGAGGUAAUGGCUCACCAAGGCGACGACGGGUAGCCGGCCUGAGAGGGUGACCGGCCACACUGGGACUGAGACACGGCCCAGACUCCUACGGGAGGCAGCAGUGGGGAAUAUUGCACAAUGGGCGAAAGCCUGAUGCAGCGACGCCGCGUGAGGGAUGACGGCCUUCGGGUUGUAAACCUCUUUCAGUAGGGAAGAAGCGAAAGUGACGGUACCUGCAGAAGAAGCACCGGCUAACUACGUG
Molecule: ribosomal RNA, 466 nt
Filed under: uncultured bacterium
Lineage: Bacteria
Description: partial 16S ribosomal RNA
Rfam family: Bacterial small subunit ribosomal RNA
Source: RNAcentral